UACGCCCUUAUGCAAGCGUUAUCCGGAAUUAUUGGGCGUAAAGCGUUUGUAGGCGGGCGAGUGUGUUUAAUGUUAAAUCUUAAAGCUCAACUUUGAAAUUGCGUUAAAAACUGCUUGUCUUGAGUAUGGUAGGGGUAAAGGGAAUUCCCAGUGUAGCGGUGAAAUGCGUAGAUAUUGGGAAGAACACUAAACAGCGAAGGCACUUUACUAGGCUAAUACUGACGCUGAGAAACGAAAGGUAAGGUAGCGAAACGGAUUAGAUACCCGUGUAGUCUUACCCGUAAACUAUGGACACUAAACGGUAAAUUUUUAAUUUACUGUUAAAGCUAACGCGUUAAGUGUCCCGCCUGGGGAGUAUGCUUGCAAAAGUGAAACUCAAAGGAAUUGACGGGGGCCCGCACAAGCGGUGGAGCAUGUGGUUUAAUUCGACGGUACACGAAGAACCUUACCAGGAUUUGACAUGCUAGAUAGUUGCUUGAAAGAGUAACGUGCCGUAAGGAAUCUAGACACAGGUGGUGCAUGGCUGUCGUCAGUUCGUGUUGUGAAAUGUUGGGUUAAGUCCCGCAACGAACGCAACCCUUGUCUUUAGUUAUUUUCUAAAGAGACUGCCUGUAAUAAACAGGAGGAAGGUAAGGAUGAGGUCAAGUCAUCAUGCCCCUUAUGUCCUGGGCUACACACGUGCUACAAUGGGAAAGACAAUGAGCUGCAAAUCUGUAAAUUUAAGCAAAUCUCUUAAACUUUCUCGUAGUUCGGAUUGUGGGCUGCAACUCGCCCACAUGAAGUUGGAAUCGCUAGUAAUCGCCAGUCAGCUAUAUGGCGGUGAAUCCGUUCCCGGGCCU
RNAcentral lists this ribosomal RNA (839 nucleotides) under uncultured bacterium. RNAcentral describes it as "bacterial SSU rRNA". It matches the Rfam family "Bacterial small subunit ribosomal RNA", at positions 524 to 1381 of the family's 1533-position model. The record is from RNAcentral.